UGGGCUCACAGUUUUUUACGA
RNAcentral lists this non-coding RNA (21 nucleotides) under Caenorhabditis elegans. Lineage: Eukaryota; Metazoa; Nematoda; Chromadorea; Rhabditida; Rhabditidae. The record is from RNAcentral.